UACGAAGGGGGCUAGCGUUGCUCGGAAUCACUGGGCGUAAAGGGUGCGUAGGCGGGUCUUUAAGUCAGAGGUGAAAUCCUGGAGCUCAACUCCAGAACUGCCUUUGAUACUGAGAAGCUUGAGUCCGGGAGAGGUGAGUGGAACUGCGAGUGUAGAGGUGAAAUUCGUAGAUAUUCGCAAGAACACCAGUGGCGAAGGCGGCUCACUGGCCCGGUACUGACGCUGAGGUGCGAAAGCGUGGGGAGCAAACAGG
This 253-nucleotide ribosomal RNA is filed under the name uncultured bacterium. RNAcentral's name for it is "partial 16S ribosomal RNA". It matches the Rfam family "Bacterial small subunit ribosomal RNA", at positions 524 to 776 of the family's 1533-position model. The record is from RNAcentral.